This is a small nuclear RNA of Panthera leo (lion), 145 nucleotides long. Its record names the gene U4. It matches the Rfam family "U4 spliceosomal RNA". From Rfam's summary of the family: U4 small nuclear RNA (U4 snRNA) is a component of the major U2-dependent spliceosome. The structure of U4 snRNA from yeast and human has been reported. The record is from Ensembl. NCBI's taxonomy places the organism in Eukaryota, Metazoa, Chordata, Mammalia, Carnivora, Felidae.
AGCUUUGCGCAGUGGCAGUAUCGUAGCCAGUGAGGUUUAUCCAAGGCGCGAUUAUUGCUAAUAGUUUCCUAGUGUUAGUGAACACUGCACCACAAAUUGGGUGGCUUAGAACCAUAGAAAUUUAUUGUCUCACUACCCUGGAGGA